GGGACCGGAAGUUUUCCAACAAACAGCCAAUGAACAGAGAGAAUUCCUAGAGAUGGCCAAUCAGCAAGCAGCAACGCCGCAUCAAUACCCAGGUACCGGAUGCGAAGGGCUUGGAUGUGCUUUUUGGUUUGCCCUCCCUUCCUUCAACUGCGGUUUCCUUUUGCUUUUCUCUGAGCCUCCGGCCCUUGAACAGUGGAAAUAGGAAGCUAGGGCUGGCCUGACGAGCAGCGACCACACCUGGCCCAGCCACACGAGUGGAGCGCCUGUUCCACCGGAAGGGAUGCUCUGGGGAGGUUUCCUCCUUCCGCUCCAGUUUCUUGGCUCCAACGAGGGAUCAAACUCAGGAGCACUCAACCACUGAGCUACAUCCCCAGCCACAUCCCCAGCCACAUCCCCUGCUGUCUCAACCUCCCCAGCUGCUGAGAUUACAGAUGUGCACCACUGUGCCCAGCUAGAGGACAUACUUUUUAAUGAAGACCUUGUGUUAUGAUUCAAAUGUGAUAGAAACACAAAAUAAUAUAAAUGUUCUAUGUAUUAGUUAUCUAUUGCUGUGUAACAAAUUUCUCUGAAACUUGGUGGUUUAUAAUAAAAAAUUGUUAUCUGCA
Long non-coding RNA from Ictidomys tridecemlineatus (thirteen-lined ground squirrel), 605 nucleotides. RefSeq lists it as uncharacterized. Lineage: Eukaryota; Metazoa; Chordata; Mammalia; Rodentia; Sciuridae. The record is from RefSeq and is a predicted model, not a curated record.